GCCCGCUCAAGAACUACGAAAGGAAUUGACGGGGGCCCGCACAAGCGGUGGAGUAUGUGGUUUAAUUCGAUGCAACGCGAAGAACCUUACCUGGUUUUGACAUCCCGGAGACCCUUAGGAAACUAGGGGGUGCCUUCCAUCUGGAAGAAUCUGGAGACAGGUGCUGCAUGGCUGUCGUCAGCUCGUGUCGUGAGAUGUUGGGUUAAGUCCCGCAACGAGCGCAACCCUUGCCUUUAGUUGCCAGCAGUUCGGCUGGGCACUCUAAAGGGACUGCCGGUGUUAAACCGGAGGAAGGUGGGGAUGACGUCAAGUCCUCAUGGCCUUUAUGACCAGGGCUACACACGUACUACAAUGGCCGAUACAAAGGGCAGCGACACUGCGAGGUGAAGCCAAUCCCGUAAAAUCGGUCUCAGUCCGGAUUGGAGUCUGCAACUCGACUCCAUGAAGUUGGAAUCGCUAGUAAUCGUGGAUCAGCAUGCCACGGUGAAUACGUUCCCGGGCCUU
RNAcentral lists this ribosomal RNA (504 nucleotides) under uncultured Desulfobulbus sp. RNAcentral describes it as "bacterial SSU rRNA". It matches the Rfam family "Bacterial small subunit ribosomal RNA", at positions 903 to 1382 of the family's 1533-position model. The record is from RNAcentral. Lineage: Bacteria; Pseudomonadati; Thermodesulfobacteriota; Desulfobulbia; Desulfobulbales; Desulfobulbaceae.